GACGGUGCUAAGGUAGCGAAAUUCCUAGCCUUUUAAUUGGAGGCCUGCAUGAAUGGCUUGACGAGCGCCCUGCUGUCUCUCUUCCCAUGAACUUUUAAAUUAACUUUCGCGUGCAAAGGCGCGAAUGGCUGAGUUAGACGAAAAGACCCUAUGCAUCUUUACUGAGAGAGAAGAAAGUUCUUUAGCUUGGUUUAGCUGGGGCAGCUGAGGAAAAGGCAAAAUUUCCUUAAUAUAAAUCAUACUGGUGGGUUUAGAUCCAGGCUCUUAGCGGGCUUGACAAGUAGAAAAGCUACGCUAGGGAUAACAGCGUUAUCCUUCUGUGGAGGUCUUAUCUGCAGGAGGGAUUGCGACCUCGAUGUUGAAUUAGGGAUAUACCAGAAAGGCGCAGAAGCUUUUAUUGUGGGUCUGUUCGACCCUUAAAACCCUACGUGAUCUGAGUUCAGACCGGA
Molecule: ribosomal RNA, 449 nt
Filed under: Pinna nobilis
Lineage: Eukaryota; Metazoa; Mollusca; Bivalvia; Pterioida; Pinnidae
Description: partial 16S ribosomal RNA
Rfam family: Bacterial large subunit ribosomal RNA
Source: RNAcentral